GGGGGAGUGGCGGAACUGGUGUACGCGGCAGACUUAAAAUCUGCUGUCGCGAAAGCGACAUGAGGGUUCGAGUCCCUCCUCCCCCAUCA
This 89-nucleotide transfer RNA is filed under the name Deltaproteobacteria bacterium. Its description in RNAcentral is "tRNA-Leu". It matches the Rfam family "tRNA". From Rfam's summary of the family: Transfer RNA (tRNA) molecules are approximately 80 nucleotides in length. Lineage: Bacteria; Pseudomonadati; Myxococcota; Myxococcia. The record is from RNAcentral.